This 242-nucleotide unclassified non-coding RNA is filed under the name Hevea brasiliensis (rubber tree). The record is from RNAcentral. Lineage: Eukaryota; Viridiplantae; Streptophyta; Magnoliopsida; Malpighiales; Euphorbiaceae.
UUGACACAACUCUAUAUUCUUCCAGUGAAGAGUGCUUUGAUCUUGUAAUUUAUUCAUUAUUAAUUAGUGGUAACCAGUUAUGGGAGUUUUACUGGGUGGAAUCAGUGCGAGUGCUGCUACUGCUGCUGCUGAUUUCCCUAUGCGAUGCUCUCGUUGUAUCACAGCAUUUUUCUUGUAAGUUGUAACCCGACGGAUUUCCAUAUUUGAGGAAAUUGAGCUUUUUUUUUUUUUUUUUUUUUUUU